Molecule: ribosomal RNA, 163 nt
Filed under: Aurantiochytrium limacinum
Lineage: Eukaryota; Bigyra; Thraustochytrida; Thraustochytriidae
Description: partial Eukaryotic large subunit ribosomal RNA
Rfam family: Eukaryotic large subunit ribosomal RNA
Source: RNAcentral
GAUUGAAAGUAGUGCUGUCAAAAUCAGCGCUUUCUCUCAUCACAAUUUCAACGAAUCAAGCAAGAGAUCCUUUGUAGACGACUUAGCUUGGACGGGGUACUGUAAGCAUGAGAGUAGGCCUUGCCCUACGAUCUGCUGAGGUUUGGCCUUCGUUCCGUUGAUC